RNAcentral lists this ribosomal RNA (507 nucleotides) under Triticum aestivum (bread wheat). RNAcentral's name for it is "partial small subunit ribosomal RNA". The record is from RNAcentral. Lineage: Eukaryota; Viridiplantae; Streptophyta; Magnoliopsida; Poales; Poaceae.
AUGGCAAUUGUCUAUACAUACAGGAAGCCUGACAUCUUCUUGACCAUGACUUGCAAUCCAAAAUGGGAAGAGAUAACUAAUAAGUUGCUGCCUGGUCAGACUACGCAGGACCGACCUGAUAUUGUGGCUUGCAUGUUCUAUGGCAAACUAGAGGCUAUGAAGGACAUGUUGUUCAAGAAGCAGAUCCUAGGUGUUGUUGUCGCUUAUGUAUACGUAGUCGAGUUCCAAAAAAGGGGCCUUCCCCACGCACAUUUUUUGUUGAUCAUGGACUCAGCAUAUAAGCUUAUCGUUCCAGAGCAGUAUGACCGGCUCAUAUCAGCAGAGCUCCCAGACAAGCAUAAGUAUCCCGAAUUGUAUGUAAUGGUGGUAAAGCAUAUGAUGCACGGACCAUGCGGUGCUCUCAACCCAAAGAAUGUUUGCAUGCAAGAAAACGGAUGCAAGUGCAGAUACCUGAGGCCGUUCAAUGAAAACACAGCACAUGGGAAGGACUCGUAUCCAGUUUAUUAG